RNAcentral lists this long non-coding RNA (622 nucleotides) under Nicotiana benthamiana. Its description in RNAcentral is "long non-coding RNA (NBEN_LNC011357)". The record is from RNAcentral. Lineage: Eukaryota; Viridiplantae; Streptophyta; Magnoliopsida; Solanales; Solanaceae.
UAGUGUAAUGUUUAUCUAGUAAUGAGGAAAACAUAUUUAAUCCAUUAUUAGUUGCUAAUUUUUUUGUAAGUGUAUUGAUGUUGCUUAUGACUUUGUAAAUUAAUUGAUAUUGUUAAGACCGCGUGAAGUGCGAAUAAAUACUGUUAUCUUUUAUGGAUUCAAAAAGGUACUAAAAUGUGCGAAAAAGACCAACGGGAGACACGUAGGUAUGACUCACCUUUGAUUCCCCUAUAUCCUCCCUUUCAUUUUCCGUAUCUACUUUUUCUCCACCAUUAGACUUGCUGUUUGCUAGAUUUUCCCAUCAUGUUUGAGUCUUUUUCUCUUCUUCCCCUAACACAAAUCAAUUUAUUCAAAGAGAGGAAAUAGGCAUGUUCAAAAAUUACACUAUAUAAAUUAUUUAUUUAUAAUACAAUUAAAUUCAUUAUGUAGUUUAUAGACAAGCGAAUAAAUUUGAUCCGAAAAUGAUAAAUAAAUAUGACUAAAUUUAAGAUUUAGCAGUUAAAAUUAAAGAAGAUGACAAGCCUGGCUCCAAGCGCAAUGUCUCUGAAGGCAAAAGUGAAAGCAAUGAUAAAGUGCAAAUAAUUGUUUAAUUGUGAGAAAAAGUAAAAUUUUGCUUAUGUCC